UUAGUGCCCUUUGUGUUUUGUGAGAGUGAAACAGCUAGUGCAGAGAACAGUAAGGCGGUUCCUCAAAAAUUAAACAUAGAAUCACAAUGCCAUCCAACAAUCCUGCUCCCAGCUAUAGCCAAAACAUGAAGCAGGGUCUCCAAAAGGGCCUGCACACCUAUGCUUCUAGCAGUACUACUCACAAGUCAAGAGGUAAAAGCAUCCCACUGUCCAGCAGGAGCUGAAUGAAUAUUUCAAAUGUGGGGUACAAGCACAAUGGAACAUCUCUCAUCUGGAAGACGAAGGAAAUUCUAGCGAGUGCCACAUGUGGCUGAACCUUUAAGACAUUAUACUAAGUGAAAGAAGCCGGAUACAAAAGGAGCACUAUUGCAAGGUUCCAUUUAUAACCCUCAAGGAGAAAGAAAAUGGAAUGGUGUCUCAGGGGCUUGGGGAGGGGAACAGAGAGUUAAUGCUUAAUGAACACGGCUUCCACCGGAAGAUGAAGCAGUUCACAGCUGGAUGGGAUGAUGGUCACACAACAGUGUGCAUGUGCACUGUGAACCUCGUGGCUGCACUCUUAAAAACAGUUGAGCUGUGCAUUUUCUGUUGUAAAUACUUCACCAUAAUCGGAAUUUAAAGUAGGACGCAUGUUCUUUCUCACUAGGCACUCCUGAUAAAAGCCAGUAAACCAAUUAACAGCAGAUCGCUCUCUUCAAGCCAGGAGAAGUGUGCCCAAAACGAUGGAUCCUACUGAAUGCUCUGAUGCUCUUCUGUUUUCGGUUGCCUCUGGGCCACUGCCUGUGUUUCCAGACCCUGCCUCAUGAGCACUGCUGGUCCUUAAUGAUGCCUACAGACUUAGAACCAGACAUUCACUAAGGAGACUUUUCACAGCAUUCUUCAUAUAAAACUACAGGCAGAGGACUUCAGAAAGGUGAAUUCAAAAGGAAAAGAAGGACAAGUUUACCAAAUGUAAAGAAGUCAGAGCUAUUAUCGAAAAUCUUAAUGCUCAUAGAUCUAUUUAAUUAAAAUAUUAAAAGAA
Fukomys damarensis (Damara mole-rat) is the source of this 1018-nucleotide long non-coding RNA. RefSeq lists it as uncharacterized. Lineage: Eukaryota; Metazoa; Chordata; Mammalia; Rodentia; Bathyergidae. The record is from RefSeq and is a predicted model, not a curated record. The transcript has 2 exons.